UACGUAGGGCGCAAGCGUUGUCCGGAUUCACUGGGUGUAAAGGGCGCGCAGGCGGGAAAGUAAGUUAGAGGUGAAAUCUCACAGCUCAACUGUGAAACGGCCUUUGAUACUGCUUUUCUUGAGUUAGGGAGAGGUUGAUGGAAUUCCAGGUGUAGCGGUGAAAUGCGUAGAUAUCGGGAGGAACACCCGUGGCUAAGGCGGUUCUCUAGUACGGUACUGACGCUGAGACGCGAAAGCGUGGGGAGCGAACAGG
This 253-nucleotide ribosomal RNA is filed under the name uncultured bacterium. RNAcentral's name for it is "partial 16S ribosomal RNA". It matches the Rfam family "Bacterial small subunit ribosomal RNA", at positions 524 to 776 of the family's 1533-position model. The record is from RNAcentral.